Molecule: unclassified non-coding RNA, 201 nt
Filed under: Hevea brasiliensis (rubber tree)
Lineage: Eukaryota; Viridiplantae; Streptophyta; Magnoliopsida; Malpighiales; Euphorbiaceae
Source: RNAcentral
GUCAAAUCCACCCAAAUCUAAAAUUUUCAAAUCGAAAUUAAGCUUAUAAUUCUCUAUUUGCCAUUUAAAUUGCUGACUUUUUAAAUCACAUUGUAACUCCUCUCAUCAACUACUGUGAUAGCAGUAUAUGGUGUAUUCACCAACUCUAAUUUCAACUCUUGAGCAAUUCUUUUAUCAAGAAAACUAGUUGUACUACCAUUG